This 323-nucleotide ribosomal RNA is filed under the name uncultured eukaryote. RNAcentral describes it as "partial 18S ribosomal RNA". It matches the Rfam family "Eukaryotic small subunit ribosomal RNA", at positions 1470 to 1796 of the family's 1831-position model. The record is from RNAcentral.
CCCUUAGAUGUUCUGGGCUGCACGCGUGCUACACUGAUAUUGCCAAUAUGUCAUUCUUAUCCGAAAUGGAUUGGGUAAUCAAGUAAUGAAAUUUCAUGCUUGGAAUCGGUAAUUGCAAUUUUAUCGUGAACGAGGAAUUCCUAGUAAGCACUAGUCGUCAGCUAAUGUUGAUUAUGUCCCUGCCCUUUGUACACACCGCCCGUCGCUACUACUGAUUGGGUGUUCAAGUGAGAUGCUUAGACCCUUGUUGCAUGGUCCAUUAUUGUGCUCCGAAAGGAAAAAGUUUCAAGCUUGAGUGUCUAGAGGAAGUAAAAGUCGUAACA